CAAUAGCGUAUAUUAAAGUUGUUGCAGUUAAAAAGCUCGUAGUUGGAUUUCUGGUGGGAGCGAUCGGUCUGGCGCUUAGCGCGAGUACUUGCAUCGUCUCCGGCCAUCCUUGGGGAGAGUCUGUCUGGCAUUAGGUUGUCGGGCAGAGGAUCCUCAUCGUUUACUGUGAAAAAAUUAGAGUGUUCAAAGCAGGCUUAUGCCGUUGAAUAUAUUAGCAUGGAAUAAUAAGAUAGGACUUUGGUACUAUUUUGUUGGUUUGCGCACCAAAGUAAUGAUUAAUAGGGACAGUUGGGGGUAUUCGUAUUCCGUUGUCAGAGGUGAAAUUCUUGGAUGUACGGAAGACGAACUACUGCGAAAGCAUUUACCAAGGAUGUUUUCAUUAAG
Molecule: ribosomal RNA, 384 nt
Filed under: uncultured eukaryote
Lineage: Eukaryota
Description: partial 18S ribosomal RNA
Rfam family: Eukaryotic small subunit ribosomal RNA
Source: RNAcentral